Triticum dicoccoides is the source of this 1596-nucleotide long non-coding RNA. RefSeq lists it as uncharacterized. The transcript has 2 exons. The record is from RefSeq and is a predicted model, not a curated record. NCBI's taxonomy places the organism in Eukaryota, Viridiplantae, Streptophyta, Magnoliopsida, Poales, Poaceae.
UCUAGAGCCUCACGUCCACCCACCCUAUCUCUGGCCACCGACGCCCAUCCUCUCCCCCGCCGGCGAAACACUCCCACUGCCGCAGCCGAAAACAGUCCCAAUCUCGACACCCAAAGGAGCACACCAACGUGAGAGGCAGGAUAGAGCCCAUCCCCUCCGCCAUGGUCAACGGCCCGCCGCCCAUGAUGGCACUGACGCCCCCCAAUUCCCAUGCCAACGCGUAAGAGGCGGCGCCAUUGGAUGGAUGGCGCGCGUGCUAUAUGCGUGUGCGCGUGCGCCUGAAUGCUAGGGCGGCGUGCAGGAGCUCCCCCUUCUCCUCCCUUUUCCUCUCUCUCCCCCUGCGCGCGGUGGAGCUUGAGCUGGGCGGGACGCUAAGCGGGAGUUCUUGGGGGCAGAGGAAGAAGACGUUCAGGUAGAAGGCGUGGACAUUGGGGAGUAGCUACAUGGGAGGAGGGCGUGAACGGUGGGAUGGGUGUUGGCUGGCUGUUGAGUGCAUCAAGGCUGCUCUAAUGUUGUUAAUUUUCUUGCUCUGCCCUGAUAUACUACUAUUUGAGCAUAUAUAAAGAGAUCAUAGAGGAAAGCAACAGUAGGCUGCUGCGAUUUUGUUCAUGGUGCUACUGGUUUUGUUAAUGUUGGUAUUUGCUUACUGAUUACAACUGCUGCUACUAGGUACUCGCUUUAUGAUAUGAAUAUUAUUCAGUUAUUCUUUCUUUGUUGUUUCUAUCUGAAUAUUAUUCAGUUAUUCUUUCUUUGUUGUUUCUAUCUGAAUAUUAUUCAGUUAUUCUUUCUUGUUUCUAUCUCAAUAUUAUUCAGAUAUUCUUUCUUUGUCUAAAUCGAUUUAGGAGAAGAGAUAGAGAGAAGAGUUACUGGUGUGGUUCAUUUGGGAAAUUUAGUACUUUGUUUAUACUGCUUUGUUUUAGGGGAUGAAGUAAAUAGAAGAAGAAAUUCCUGGGAUGGAUCUCUAUGAAAGUUGUUACAUGAAGUAUUUUAUCUGGGAACGCCUAAUACCCCUGGUGUUGGGUUUGGUCUUCAUUCAAUCCCCAAAUUAUAUGGUCUGGUAAGAUUUUUCCUUUUGCAAAUUUGAUUGCUUAAUGGUGUGUACGCCAGCAUCCGUCUCCUGUUUUCCUUGCAUGCUCACCGACAACAGCGACAUCGGCGGGAGACGAGGAGUAUCCCGUGUUUGUUCUGACGAGCAUUGCAAGCUCUGAAAUGUACAUAUUACCUUGACGAGGACACCCCAUCUCAGCUCUUGGCUUCCAGGGAUACGUGCUGCCAGCGGUAGCACAAUCACACUGGCACAGUGCCCCGCGUCGUCUGCACCGAUGCUGCUGUGUCCUACCUCCAUGCUUCACCGUUGUGAUUCCAUCCGCCAGGAGAUUCUGCAUAUGGGGAGAAACAUCCAAUUUUUCAAGACACAUCCCGAAUAUUUGUUUCCUGGUUGUCCGUUGUCAACGUUUUCUUUGCAUAGACCUGGUUGAUGUAAGAAAAUUUACAAGUAGUCCGAUACUAAUAUUUUUGUAUGUACAUACAUGUGCACUCACCCCUUCUAUAUAAAUAUGAUUGCUCAAAUAUGAUUCAAGAGCAUCUUUUACUUUA